Molecule: ribosomal RNA, 457 nt
Filed under: uncultured organism
Description: partial 16S ribosomal RNA
Rfam family: Bacterial small subunit ribosomal RNA
Source: RNAcentral
UACACUCCUACGGGAGGCAGCAGUGGGGAAUAUUGCCCAAUGGGCGCAAGCCUGAUGCAGCGACGCCGCGUGGGGGAUGAAGGCCUUCGGGUUGUAAACUCCUUUCGCUAGGGACGAAGCUUUUUUGUGACGGUACCUAGAUAAGAAGCACCGGCUAACUACGUGCCAGCAGCCGCGGUAAUACGUAGGGUGCGAGCGUUGUCCGGAAUUACUGGGCGUAAAGGGCUCGUAGGUGGUUUGUCGCGUCGUCUGUGAAAUUCUGGGGCUUAACUCCGGGCGUGCAGGCGAUACGGGCAUAACUUGAGUGCUGUAGGGGUAACUGGAAUUCCUGGUGUAGCGGUGAAAUGCGCAGAUAUCAGGAGGAACACCGAUGGCGAAGGCAGGUUACUGGGCAGUUACUGACGCUGAGGAGCGAAAGCAUGGGUAGCGAACAGGAUUAGAUACCCCUGUAGUCCCA